Molecule: non-coding RNA, 663 nt
Organism: Arachis ipaensis
Lineage: Eukaryota; Viridiplantae; Streptophyta; Magnoliopsida; Fabales; Fabaceae
Source: RefSeq, a predicted model, not a curated record
AAAUUUUAAAAUACAAAUUUUGAAAUACAAAAUACACAUUAAAAAUAAGUUAAAUGAUAUAUGUAUUUAUACACAAAUUUAUAGUAGAUAAUUUGAUAGCUAGUUUUUUAUGUAAACGUAAUAUUUUUAUUAUAAAAAUUAUUAUCAUGUUAUAUAUAUUUUGCCCCCACUAUCAAAAUUUUCUGGAUCCGUCACUGCAUAAGACAUUAGACAUAUACAAUUAAAAUAAAAACAUAUUAUAGUUUAAUUUUUUAAUAAUACUACUUAUUCAUUUCUAUUAAUUUUAUAAGAGAUUAAGAUGAAAAUUCAGGUGAAGUCGACUUCACGUGAAUCUCAACUUCACCUGAGAUUAAUCAUUUGAUCUAAUGAUAAAGAGAGGGUGCAAGAAUAAAGCUUCCAAGCACGUAUUUCUCGGAUGGCUGAAUACCCAACCGUACCCAAUACUUAUUAGUCUCUUCAGUGGUUCCAUUGCUGGCCAACAGCACAAGCUUGUAGCUGUUGCCUAAAAAACCGUGUACCUGCCUAUUGCAACUUUCGAUCUUUACUAGCUUUAGAUUCGCGUUAGAUUUGUGGUUGUACUCUGUGAUUGCGAAAUUCGCAAUCUCCAUCACACGGGGGGAUCAUUGACGUCCAUGGGUUGUACGUACAUCAGAGCAAAGGCGG